AACGAACGCUGGCGGCAUGCCUAACACAUGCAAGUCGAACGAGAGCUUCGGGUCUGGUGUCGCACGGGUGCGUAACGCGUGGGAACCUGCCCUUAGGUUCGGACUAACUCCCCGAAAGGGGUGCUAAUACCGGAUAAUAUCUUCGGACCAAAGAUUUGUCGCCUUUGGAUGGGCCCGCGUUGGAUUAGCUAGUUAGUAGGGUAAAAGCCUACCAAGGCGACGAUACAUAGCUGGUCUGAGAGGAUGAUCAGACACACUGGGACUGAGACACGGCCCGGACUUCUACGGGAGGCAGCAGUGGGGGAUCUUGGACAGUGGGCGGAAGGAUGAUCCAGCACUGCCGCGUGAGUGAUGAAGGCGUUAGGGUUGUAAAGCUCUUUUAUCCGGGAUGAUAAUGACAGUACCGGGAGAAUAAGCUCCGGCUAACUCCGUG
This 433-nucleotide ribosomal RNA is filed under the name uncultured bacterium. RNAcentral describes it as "partial 16S ribosomal RNA". It matches the Rfam family "Bacterial small subunit ribosomal RNA", at positions 29 to 507 of the family's 1533-position model. The record is from RNAcentral.